This 492-nucleotide long non-coding RNA is filed under the name Zostera marina. RNAcentral describes it as "long non-coding RNA (ZMAR_LNC001799)". The record is from RNAcentral. Lineage: Eukaryota; Viridiplantae; Streptophyta; Magnoliopsida; Alismatales; Zosteraceae.
CACGAUUCAAGUUCCACUCUCACACCAGAGCACUACACUACGAAACUCGCCGAUUCUCACUAGAAUCGCCUAGUUUCACUUGCAGGUAUUUUGACGUAGAGCGUGCGUCGUGGACUCCAAAGCCUCCGGCAUCAACCUCGCACCACCGCGAGCCCUGGUAGCAGAUUCAGGGCUUCAUCAGCUGGCGCCGUCUGUGGGACCUACCGAACCACCGGUAUCCCGUCGUAAUCGCGAUUUUUUAAAAAUCCGGCUCGAGCUCUCCCAAGAGUUCGCCGAGUUUGUCAAAAAAUCGCCGACAUAGAUCGUCCGAUUCUCGGUUAACGUCCGAUUUAGCUUUAAAUCGCCGACUUACCCUUGAGAAUCGCCCGAUCCGGAAUAUCGUCUGCUAGCUAAGAGUGCUGUCCACGACCUUGUUCGGGAAUACACCUAACUCGCCGAGUUAACAAUUAACUCGCCGACUUAGCACUUGUCUUUCCAACAGGCUCAGUCAGG